RNAcentral lists this ribosomal RNA (450 nucleotides) under uncultured Fibrobacter sp. Its description in RNAcentral is "partial 16S ribosomal RNA". It matches the Rfam family "Bacterial small subunit ribosomal RNA", at positions 341 to 792 of the family's 1533-position model. Lineage: Bacteria; Pseudomonadati; Fibrobacterota; Fibrobacteria; Fibrobacterales; Fibrobacteraceae. The record is from RNAcentral.
ACGGAAGGCGCAGUAGGGAAUAUUGCACAAUGGGGGGAACCCUGAUGCAGCAACGCCACGUGUGGGAAGAAGCAUUUCGGUGUGUAAACCACUGUCGUGAGGGAAUAAUGCUUGGCUCCGGCCAAGUUGAAUGUACCUCGAAAGGAAGCACCGGCAAACUUCGUGCCAGCAGCCGCGGUAAUACGAGGGGUGCAAGCGUUGUUCGGAAUCACUGGGCGUAAAGGGAGUGUAGGCGGAGACGCAAGCAGUCUGUACAAUACCGGGGCCCAACCCCGGACCUGCAGACUGGACUGUGUCUCUUAGAUAGUUCAGGGGCAGGCGGAAUUCCUGGUGUAGCGGUGGAAUGCGUAGAGAUCAGGAAGAACACCGAUGGCGAAGGCAGCCUGCUGGGGACUCAUCGACGCUGAGGCUCGAAAGUGCGGGUAGCAAACAGGAUUAGAUACCCUGGUA